CCUACGGGAGACAGCCGUGAGGAAUCUUGGUCAAUUGGCGCGAGCCUGAACCAGCCAAGUAGCGUGAAGGAUGACUGCCCUACGGGUUGUAAACUUCUUUUAUAACGUACUAAAGUGAGGCACGUGUGCCUUUUUGUAUGUACUUUAUGAAUAAGGAUCGGCUAACUCCGUGCCAGUAGCCGCGGUAAUACGGAGGAUCCGAGCGUUAUACGGAUUUAUUGGGUUUAAAUGGAGCGUAGAUGGGUUGUUAAGUCAGUUGUGAAAGUUUGCGGCUCAACCGUAAAAUUGCAAUUGAUACUGGCAGCCUUGAGUACAGUUGAGGUAGGCGGAAUUCGUGGUGUAGCGGUGAAAUGCUUAGAUAUCACGAAGAACUCCGAUUGCGAAGGCAGCCUACUAAACUGCCACUGACAUUGAUGCUCGAAAGUGUGGGUAUCAAACAGGAUUAGAUACCCAGUAGUC
This 459-nucleotide ribosomal RNA is filed under the name uncultured bacterium. RNAcentral describes it as "partial 16S ribosomal RNA". It matches the Rfam family "Bacterial small subunit ribosomal RNA", at positions 338 to 795 of the family's 1533-position model. The record is from RNAcentral.